RNAcentral lists this microRNA precursor (205 nucleotides) under Oryza brachyantha (malo sina). RNAcentral describes it as "MIR812 microRNA precursor family". It matches the Rfam family "MIR812 microRNA precursor family". Lineage: Eukaryota; Viridiplantae; Streptophyta; Magnoliopsida; Poales; Poaceae. The record is from Rfam by way of RNAcentral.
AUUAAGUGUAUUUUUGCACAGUUUAUGUUUAACAUUUGAUCAUCCAUGUCUUAUUUUAAAAAUUAAUGAUUAGUAUUUUUAUCGUUAUUAGAUGAUAAAAUAUGAAUAAAACUUAAUAUAUGACUAUUUUUAAUAUUUUCUAUUAAAUUUUUUAAAUAAGACGAACCAUCAAACUUGGACACAAAAAUCUAUAAAUAUAUUUAUA